AAAAAGGUCCUUUUCAGGACCACUAACAAGCCAUACCCAGCGUGC
Non-coding RNA from Acyrthosiphon pisum (pea aphid), 45 nucleotides. Lineage: Eukaryota; Metazoa; Arthropoda; Insecta; Hemiptera; Aphididae. The record is from Rfam.